Molecule: ribosomal RNA, 390 nt
Filed under: uncultured bacterium
Lineage: Bacteria
Description: bacterial SSU rRNA
Rfam family: Bacterial small subunit ribosomal RNA
Source: RNAcentral
AAUCAACGCUGGCGGCGUGCCUAACACAUGCAAGUCGAACGCGAAAGCCCUUUCGGGGGUAAGUAGAGUGGCGUCCGGGUGAGUAACACGUAGGUAAUCUACCUUCGGUGGGAAUAACUCGCCGAAAGGCGAGCUAAUACCGCAUAAUGCAGCGGCACCUAAUGGUGAUUAGUUGUUAAAGCGGGGAUCGUAAGACCUCGCGCCUGAAGAGGAGCCUGCGGCAGAUUAGCUAGNGGUGAGGUAAUGGCUCACCAAGGCUUCGAUCUGUAGCUGGUCUGAGAGGACGGCCAGCCACACUGGCACUGACACACGGGCCAGACUCCUACGGAGGCAGCAGUGGGAAUUUUGGGCAAUGGGCGCAAAGCCUGACCCAGCAACGCCGCGUGAGGG